RNAcentral lists this ribosomal RNA (378 nucleotides) under Frankia sp. FE31d. Its description in RNAcentral is "bacterial SSU rRNA". It matches the Rfam family "Bacterial small subunit ribosomal RNA", at positions 28 to 416 of the family's 1533-position model. Lineage: Bacteria; Bacillati; Actinomycetota; Actinomycetes; Frankiales; Frankiaceae. The record is from RNAcentral.
GACGAACGCUGGCGACGUGCUUAACACAUGCAAGUCGAGCGAGGAACUUCGGUUCCUAGCGGCGAACGGGUGAGUAACACGUGGGCAACCUGCCCCGAGCUCUGGGAUAACUUCGGGAAACCGGGGCUAAUACCGGAUAUGACACUAGUGGACAUCUGGUGGUGUGGAAAGAUUUAUCGGCUUGGGAUGGGCCCGCGGCCUAUCAGCUUGUUGGUGGGGUAACGGCCUACCAAGGCGACGACGGGUAGCCGGCCUGAGAGGGCGAUCGGCCACACUGGGACUGAGACACGGCCCAGACUCCUACGGGAGGCAGCAGUGGGGAAUAUUGCGCAAUGGGCGGAAGCCUGACGCAGCGACGCCGCGUGGGGGAUGAAGGCC